GGGCCCGUGGCUCAGCUUGGUUAGAGCGCACGGCUGAUAACCGUGAGGUCCUGGGUUCAAAUCCCAGCGGGCCCA
This is a non-coding RNA of Methanobacteriaceae archaeon 41_258, 75 nucleotides long. Lineage: Archaea; Methanobacteriati; Methanobacteriota; Methanobacteria; Methanobacteriales; Methanobacteriaceae. The record is from Rfam.